Molecule: RNase P RNA, 371 nt
Filed under: Planctomycetota bacterium
Lineage: Bacteria; Pseudomonadati; Planctomycetota
Description: Planctomycetes bacterium (bioreactor metagenome) RNase P RNA component class A
Rfam family: Bacterial RNase P class A
About the family: Ribonuclease P (RNase P) is a ubiquitous endoribonuclease, found in archaea, bacteria and eukarya as well as chloroplasts and mitochondria. Its best characterised activity is the generation of mature 5'-ends of tRNAs by cleaving the 5'-leader elements of precursor-tRNAs. Cellular RNase Ps are ribonucleoproteins.
Source: RNAcentral
CCUGGUCUCUGGACGGCCGCCGGCGGGACAUUGCCCCGCGGGAGGAAAGUCCGGGCUCCACAGGGCAAGGUGGUGGGCAACGCCCACCGUCCGCAAGGACAGGGAAAGUGCCACAGAGAACAGACCGCCGGACGGCUGGUUCGCCAGCGACGGCAAGGGUGAAACGGCGAGGCAAGAGCUCACCGCGGAUCGGGCGACCGAUCCGGCACGGCAAACCCCACCUGGAGGAAGACCGAGUAGGAGGAUCGCGCUGCCCGCGCCCAGGUCCUCGGGUAGGUCGUUGGCGGCCGUCCGCGAGGACGGCCCUAGAGAAAUGGCCGUCACCGUCCUUCGGGGCGGCACCAGAACCCGGCUUACGGAGACCAGGCACU